AUGAAUUUUGAUGAUUAUGGGAGUGAUGAUGAAUCAACUUUGCCUAGAAGGCGUCCCAAAAAUUCGGAGUCUUUAGAUCUUGAUGCUAAAUUUGGUAAAAGUGAGAUUGGAGAAUCCUCAACUUCUAAUAAUAUUGAACCUACUAUCUCGGAUUUCAAGGGAUUUGAUUAUGAUAGUUGCUCUUUAAAAGGUUGUAUUUCCUUGUUGCAAUCCGUUGUUAAUUCUCCUCAUGCUUAUAGUCAAAAUAAAGCUUUUACCAAACAUAUCGUUGAUGCCUUGAUGCAAUCUUAUUAUGAAAAACUUAAUUUGGAAGUUUCUAUGCCUAGAAAACUUAAUGAUGAGUGGGAACCUACUAUAAAUAUUAGAAUUAAAGAUUAUGAGUGUUUUGCUUUGUGUGAUUUGGGUGCUAGUGUUUCCAUGAUUCCGAAAACUUUAUGUGAUAUUCUAGGUUUCCAUGAUCUUGAUGAUUGCUCUUUAAAUUUGCACCUUGCAGAUUCCACCAUUAAAAACCCUAUGGGAAGGAUCGAUGAUGUUCUUAUUGUUGCAAAUAGAAAUUUGGUGCCCAUAGAAUUUAUCGUUCUUGAUAUAGAUUGCAAUCUUUCUUGCCCUAUUAUUCUUGGUAGACCUUUCCUUAGAACGAUUGGUGCGAUUAUUGAUAUGAAGGAAGGGAAUAUUAGAUUCCAAUUUCCAUUAAAGAAAGGCAUGGAUCACUUUCCAAGAAAUAAAUUCAAAUUACCUUAUGAAUCUAUCAUGUGUGCUACUUAUGAAUUUAGUGCCAAAGAUGGCACUCGUUAG
This 795-nucleotide ribosomal RNA is filed under the name Triticum aestivum (bread wheat). RNAcentral's name for it is "partial small subunit ribosomal RNA". The record is from RNAcentral. Lineage: Eukaryota; Viridiplantae; Streptophyta; Magnoliopsida; Poales; Poaceae.